GAUGAACGCUAGCGGCAGGCCUAAUACAUGCAAGUCGAGGGGCAGCACGGGUAGCAAUACUGGGUGGCGACCGGCGCACGGGUGCGUAACACGUAUACAAUCUGCCUAUAACUGGAGGAUAGCCCGGAGAAAUUCGGAUUAAUACUCCAUAACAUAAUGGUGUGGCAUCACAUUAUUAUUAAAGCUCCGGCGGUUAUAGAUGAGUAUGCGGAUGAUUAGCUAGUUGGUGAGGUAAUGGCUCACCAAGGCUACGAUCAAUAGGGGUACUGAGAGGUUAAACCCCCACACUGGUACUGAGACACGGACCAGACUCCUACGGGAGGCAGCAGUAAGGAAUAUUGGACAAUGGUGGCAACACUGAUCCAGCCAUGCCGCGUGCAGGAUGAAGGCGCUACGCGUUGUAAACUGCUUUUGUACGGGAGAAAACCUAUCUACGUGUAGAUAGCUGAUAGUACCGUAAGAAUAAACAUCGGCUAACUUCGUGCCAGCAGCCGCGGUAAUACGAAGGAUGCAAGCGUUAUCCGGAUUUAUUGGGUUUAAAGGGUGCGUAGGCGGACUUAUAAGUCAGUGGUGAAAUCUCGAUGCUUAACAUCGAACGUGCCAUUGAUACUGUAG
This 615-nucleotide ribosomal RNA is filed under the name uncultured bacterium. RNAcentral's name for it is "bacterial SSU rRNA". It matches the Rfam family "Bacterial small subunit ribosomal RNA", at positions 28 to 638 of the family's 1533-position model. The record is from RNAcentral.